AAUAGAUACCCGGGUAGUCCACGCCGUAAACGAUGUCGACUUGGAGGUUGUUCCCUUGAGGAGUGGCUUCCGGAGCUAACGCGUUAAGUCGACCGCCUGGGGAGUACGGCCGCAAGGUUAAAACUCAAAUGAAUUGACGGGGGCCCGCACAAGCGGUGGAGCAUGUGGUUUAAUUUGAUGCAACGCGAAGAACCUUACCUACUCUUGACAUCCACGGAACUUUUCAGAGAUGAAUUGGUGCCUUCGGGAACCGUGAGACAGGUGCUGCAUGGCUGUCGUCAGCUCGUGUUGUGAAAUGUUGGGUUAAGUCCCGCAACGAGCGCAACCCUUAUCCUUUGUUGCCAGCGGUUAGGCCGGGAACUCAAAGGAGACUGCCAGUGAUAAACUGGAGGAAGGUGGGGAUGACGUCAAAGUCAUCAUGGCCCUUACGAGUAGGGCUACACACGUGCUACAAUGGCGCAUACAAAGAGAAGCGACCUCGCGAGAGCAAGCGGACCUCAUAAAAGUGCGUCGUAGUCCGGAUUGGAGUCUGCAACUCGACUCC
Molecule: ribosomal RNA, 544 nt
Filed under: uncultured bacterium
Lineage: Bacteria
Description: bacterial SSU rRNA
Rfam family: Bacterial small subunit ribosomal RNA
Source: RNAcentral